AUUCCGGUUGAUCCUGCCGGAGGACAUUGCUAUUGGGAUUCGAUUUAGCCAUGCUAGUCGAGCGAGUUCAGACUCGCGGCGAAUAGCUCAGUAACACGUGGCCAAGCUCCCCUUCAGUCAGCGAUACCCUCGGGAAACUGAGGUUAACAGCUGAUACAAAACGCCAGCUGGAAUGCGGCGUUUCAGAAAGACACCGCUGAAGGAUGCGGCUGCGGCCGAUUAGGUAGACGGUGGGGUAACGGCCCACCGUGCCAGUAAUCGGUACGGGUGAUGAGAGUCAGAGCCCGGAGACGGUAUCUGAGACAAGAUACCGGGCCCUACGGGGCGCAGCAGGCGCGAAACCUUUACACUGCACGGAAGUGCGAUAGGGGAAUCCCAAGUGCGAGGGCAUAUUAGCCCUCGCUUUUCUCGACUGUAAGCUGGUCGACGAAUAAGAGCUGGGCAAGACCGGUGCCAGCCGCCGCGUAAUACCGGCAGCUCAAGUGAUGUCCCAUAUUAUUGGGCCUAAAGCGUCCGUAGCUAAGGGC
RNAcentral lists this ribosomal RNA (527 nucleotides) under uncultured haloarchaeon. RNAcentral's name for it is "bacterial SSU rRNA". It matches the Rfam family "Archaeal small subunit ribosomal RNA", at positions 1 to 532 of the family's 1478-position model. The record is from RNAcentral. Lineage: Archaea; Methanobacteriati; Methanobacteriota; Halobacteria; Halobacteriales; Halobacteriaceae.